UACGGAGGAUCCGAGCGUUAUCCGGAUUUAUUGGGUUUAAAGGGUGCGUAGGUGGAGAUUUAAGUCAGUGGUGAAAGCCUGCAGCUUAACUGCAGAACUGCCAUUGAUACUGAUAGUCUUGAGUUUGGUUAAGGUAGGCGGAAUGUGUAAUGUAGCGGUGAAAUGCUUAGAUAUUACACAGAACACCAAUUGCGUAGGCAGCUUACUGAGCCGACACUGACGCUGAGGCACGAAAGCGUGGGGAUCGAACAGGAUUA
This 257-nucleotide ribosomal RNA is filed under the name uncultured prokaryote. Its description in RNAcentral is "partial 16S ribosomal RNA". It matches the Rfam family "Bacterial small subunit ribosomal RNA", at positions 524 to 780 of the family's 1533-position model. The record is from RNAcentral.